CUACACACGUGCUACAAUGGCCGGUACAGACGGGCGCAAAGCCGCGAGGUGGAGCAAAUCCUAAAAAAGCCGGUCUCAGUUCGGAUUGCAGGCUGCAAUUCGCCUGCAUGAAGUCGGAAUCGCUAGUAAUCGCAGGUCAGCAUACUGCGGUCGAAUACGUUCCGGGCCUU
Molecule: ribosomal RNA, 170 nt
Filed under: uncultured Cryptanaerobacter sp.
Lineage: Bacteria; Bacillati; Bacillota; Clostridia; Eubacteriales; Desulfotomaculaceae
Description: partial 16S ribosomal RNA
Rfam family: Bacterial small subunit ribosomal RNA
Source: RNAcentral